RNAcentral lists this ribosomal RNA (660 nucleotides) under uncultured bacterium. RNAcentral describes it as "bacterial SSU rRNA". It matches the Rfam family "Bacterial small subunit ribosomal RNA", at positions 50 to 697 of the family's 1533-position model. The record is from RNAcentral.
AACACAUGCAAGUCGAGGGGAAACGAUAUUGGAAGCUUGCUUCCGAUAGGCGUCGACCGGCGCACGGGUGAGUAACGCGUAUCCAACCUGCCCACCACUUGGGGAUAACCUUGCGAAAGUAAGACUAAUACCCAAUAACGUCUCUAGAAGACAUCUGAAAGAGAUUAAAGAUUUAUCGGUGAUGGAUGGGGAUGCGUCUGAUUAGCUUGUUGGCGGGGUAACGGCCCACCAAGGCGACGAUCAGUAGGGGUUCUGAGAGGAAGGUCCCCCACAUUGGAACUGAGACACGGUCCAAACUCCUACGGGAGGCAGCAGUGAGGAAUAUUGGUCAAUGGGCGAGAGCCUGAACCAGCCAAGUAGCGUGCAGGAAGACGGCCCUAUGGGUUGUAAACUGCUUUUAUAAGGGAAUAAAGUGAGAGUCGUGACUCUUUUUGCAUGUACCUUAUGAAUAAGGACCGGCUAAUUCCGUGCCAGCAGCCGCGGUAAUACGGAAGGUCCGGGCGUUAUCCGGAUUUAUUGGGUUUAAAGGGAGCGUAGGCCGGAGAUUAAGCGUGUUGUGAAAUGUAGACGCUCAACGUCUGCACUGCAGCGCGAACUGGUUUCCUUGAGUACGCACAAAGUGGGCGGAAUUCGUGGUGUAGCGGUGAAAUGCUUAGAUAU